GAUGAAGAACGUAGCGAAAUGCGAUAAGUAAUGUGAAUUGCAGAAUUCAGUGAAUCAUCGAAUCUUUGAACGCACCUUGCGCUCCUUGGUAUUCCGAGGAGCAUGCCUGUUUGAGUGUCAUGAAAUUCUCAACCUUUCUGGCUUUUGCUAGUCAGGCUUGGAUUAUGGGAGCUGCUGGCUUUUGAAGUCGGCUCUUCUAAAAUGUAUUAGCAAGAUCAUUGCUGCUCAUCAUUGGUAUGAUAAUUAUCUAUAUCAUUGAGAGUCAGUUUCCUUUAUUGGAAGAUUUUGCUCUAACGGUCUUUAGCAAGACAACAUUUGACGAUUUUGACCUCAAAUCAGGUAGGACUACCCGCUGAACUUAAGCAUAUCAAUAAGCGGAGGA
RNAcentral lists this unclassified non-coding RNA (382 nucleotides) under soil metagenome. Its description in RNAcentral is "partial contains 5.8S ribosomal RNA, internal transcribed spacer 2, and large subunit ribosomal RNA". The stretch from base 1 to 120 matches the Rfam family "5.8S ribosomal RNA", at positions 35 to 154 of the family's 154-position model. The record is from RNAcentral.